UACGGGGGGGGCAAGCGUUGUUCGGAAUUACUGGGCGUAAAGGGCUCGUAGGCGGCCAACUAAGUCAGACGUGAAAUCCCUCGGCUUAACCGGGGAACUGCGUCUGAUACUGGAUGGCUAGAGGUUGGGAGGGGGAUGCGGAAUUCCAGGUGUAGCGGUGAAAUGCGUAGAUAUCUGGAGGAACACCGGUGGCGAAGGCGGCAUCCUGGACCAAUUCUGACGCUGAGGAGCGAAAGCCAGGGGAGCAAACGGG
RNAcentral lists this ribosomal RNA (253 nucleotides) under uncultured bacterium. RNAcentral describes it as "partial 16S ribosomal RNA". It matches the Rfam family "Bacterial small subunit ribosomal RNA", at positions 524 to 776 of the family's 1533-position model. The record is from RNAcentral.